GAAGGCAAAGACCGCCGAGGCAGAGNAAACCCUAAAAAACUAGGUCCCACUUCGGAUCGCAGGCUGCAACCCGCCCUGCGUGAAGUUGGAAUUGCUAGUAAUCGCGGAUCAGCAUGCCGCGGUGAAUACGUUCCCGGGCCUUGUACACACCGCCCGUCACACCAUGGAAGUCGGUAAUGCCCGAAGUCAGUAGCCUAACCGCAAGGGGGGCGCUGCCGAAGGCAGGAUUGAUGACUGGGGUGAAGUCGUAACAAGGUACC
RNAcentral lists this ribosomal RNA (260 nucleotides) under uncultured bacterium. RNAcentral describes it as "partial 16S ribosomal RNA". It matches the Rfam family "Bacterial small subunit ribosomal RNA", at positions 1242 to 1500 of the family's 1533-position model. The record is from RNAcentral.